This 973-nucleotide long non-coding RNA is filed under the name Mytilus galloprovincialis (Mediterranean mussel). The record is from RNAcentral. Lineage: Eukaryota; Metazoa; Mollusca; Bivalvia; Mytilida; Mytilidae.
AAAGGGAGGUAAUCCAUUUUUUUCAUAUGAUUUUAUACAUUAUGAGGAGAAAUAUGUGCAAAAUGUGAUGUAAAUGGGGAGAAUAUUUAUGCCUUUCAUUGAUAUCAUAACUCUCAAGUGUAAUUUCUAUUGUUUCUUUCAAUCUGGACACAAAAACUGAUUUUUACCAUAUACUCCAUGCUUCUCUCACAGUAUACUGAGUGCAUCCUGGAUAGCCGCAGUUAAAGAUAGAAAUUUGUGUAAAAAGCAACUUCAAAAGGUUCCAAAAUCCUUCCAUUACAUUAACAUUUACAGGAAAUGAGUUUUGUGAUUAUUGUGUGGCCUUGGACAAGUACAGUGAAAAAGUGCAUAUUUUCCUAUAGGGGUAAAUUCAGUAAAAAAUCUCCCAUUGACUUUAAUGCUAAUCUAUGUGUGGAAAUAAAUUUAUACCUGAUUUACCUUUAGAAAUUAAAAACUUUCAUAUAUCAUUCAUGAAAGUACAAAUGUAGCCCUAUCUUUUGCAACAAUAAAAACAUAGGGUCAUGCGGCAUUUUUGGGCAUUCACAUGGCCUUGUUUACAAACAAUGUAGAUUCGCACUGAAUUCCUAUACUGACCCCCAUUACUUUUCAACCCUGUAGGGAAAAAAAAUAGUACAUUCAGCAUUAAUUUUUUUUUUUUUUUUCAACUCUAGUUUUGAUCCAUCUACCAUAAAAUAUUUAUUACAAACAUUAUCUACCAAUCAGAAGAGCACAUGACUUCACUUUUAGACAGAAAGCUCUCCCCCAAAUGGGCGGUCCCUGAUGAUGUAUAUUUAUUUACUGAAUUUACCCCUAUAAGGGACUUUUUUACUUCUUUUCCAACUUUUUUUGUAAUAAACAUGUAAUGUAUCCAAUUUUCCAAGUUCCAGUUUCAAUACAACCUUCAUAAAUGCUGAAUUUGUAAAGAUAGAGCAAAAUUUAUACUACAGCCCAUACUGCGGCCAAUGUAUAUUUG